AUGAACGCUGGCGGCGUGCCUAAUACAUGCCAGUCGAGCGAACAGACGAGGAGCUUGCUCCUUUGACGUUAGCGGCGGACGGGUGAGUAACACGUAGGUAACCUACCUAUAAGACUGGGAUAACUUCGGGAAACCGGAGCUAAUACCGGAUAAUAUUUCGAACCGCAUGGUUCGAUAGUGAAAGAUGGCUUUGCUAUCACUUAUAGAUGGACCUGCGCCGUAUUAGCUAGUUGGUAAGGUAACGGCUUACCAAGGCAACGAUACGUAGCCGACCUGAGAGGGUGAUCGGCCACACUGGAACUGAGGCACGGUCCAGACUCCUACGGGAGGCAGCAGUAGGGAAUCUUCCGCAAUGGGCGAAAGCCUGACGGAGCAACGCCGCGUGAGUGAUGAAGGUCUUCGGAUCGUAAAACUCUGUUAUUAGGGAAGAACAAACGUGUAAGUAACUGUGCACGUCUUGACGGUACCUAAUCAGAAAGCCACGGCUAACUACGUG
RNAcentral lists this ribosomal RNA (496 nucleotides) under uncultured bacterium. RNAcentral describes it as "partial 16S ribosomal RNA". It matches the Rfam family "Bacterial small subunit ribosomal RNA", at positions 29 to 507 of the family's 1533-position model. The record is from RNAcentral.